UGUUUUUCUCCGGCGGAAUAAAACUCCUUUUCCCCGAUUCCACAACGUACGACGGCGGUGUUGACCUGAAGCGUCCUCCUCUUCUCAUUUUUCAUCCUGUUCUCCUAAUGGAAGCAAUAAAUGGAUUCACUCGCUUCCAUCUUUGAAAUAAAUGUUCUCCAAUCCUACACAAAACCUUUCGCUGUCUUCCUUCUCUUCGAUCUCCAUUGUAACGUUUUUCUAUUAAAGUGACUUCAUCCCGUUCAAUGCUCAAUCUUGCAAUUGAAGACCCACUACUCUAUCUUUAAUUGGUCUGGUCGCCUUCACCAACAGAUCGUCGGAAGAAUGCUUUGUCACUGGCCUGCUCGGAAUGUCAAAAAAGGAGGCCAACUCAUGGGCAUCGACUUCCUACUUAUUGAUGAGAAGAUCAAAGAUGGUAUGAAGGAUGAGGAGGAAGACUCAGACUGUUUAAGGAACUUCGUCUUAAAACAAUGGUAGGGGCUAACCAGCCAGCAUACAAAGACAUCUUCAAUUGCGUUUAACGAAGUCUAAGCAGAAUCGUUGAUGUGGUGCAGGUAUCCUUUUGGUGUCUUUGCAAGUGAGGACCAGUGGAGGACUUUGUUUGUUUCCAUGGUGUUUCUUCUACUCUCAUCUGAUUCGACGACGUCCAAGUUAAGACCGGUGAGAUGGUUUGAAGAAUGAAAAAGACUUGGACUUCUUAAGGUUUUGUUUCAAUCAUCAACAAUUGAAAAAAUAUAAGGUCCCCUUUCAUCCGAUGGAAAAAAACUCUUCUUGAUCUCCCAUUGGAAGUUGUCCUAGAAUUGUGGACACCACCAUCAUCAACACUCAUGCAGCUAUCAGAGAUGGCUUGAAGCAUGUAGAACACACUCACACACACACACACACACACACACACACACACUCUUCAGUCUCCACUCUUCACCAAAUAGAAUAAAAGUUUAAGAGAGAGCGACUCUCUCCCCCUCUCUCUCUCUUGGUAGUUGAUGAUUUUGAAAAAUGAAGAAGACUCAGAACAGAGGAAUGAUGAUGAUGACCCAAACAACAACAACGACAUCGAUGGUGGAUAUGGUGCAAGUGAGGAUUGGAGGAGGACGUUGUUUGUUUUACUCUCAUCUGAUUUGACGACAAGUAAAGACUGGGGAGGUGGUUCGGAAGAACAACGUUUCAUAAGAAAAAAACUGGUCGGCAUGCGUGCUCACAGGUUAACAACAUGAAACUGUUUCAAUGGUGAUUGAUUAUUUUCGACUCUAUUCAAUAUGUCUUCCUCCUUGUCCACUUCAAAUUCUCCAUCCAGAGGUGUUACUAGCUUCUUCAGAUGGAGAUUUAAGGCUCCCUUUGAUCCGAUGGAAAAAUUCUCUUCUUGAUCUAUCUUUAAACAAUGGUAAUGGCUAACCAGCCAGCAAACAGAGACAUCUUCAAUUGCUUUAACGAAAGAAGUGUCUAAGCAGGUGUUGUUUUCGUGUCUUUGCAGGUGACGAUCAGUGGAGGACUGUGUUUGUUCUACUCUCAUCUGAUUCGACGACCAGGAAUUUCAUCUUUAAACAAUGGCAAGGGAUUACCAACCAGCAUACGGAGACAUCUUCAAUUGCUUUAGCGAAAGAAGUGUCAAAAGCAGGUGUCGUUUUGAUGUCUUGGCAAGUGAGGAUCAGUGGAUGACUUUGUUUGUUUCCAUGGUGUUUCUUCUACUCUCAUCUGAUUUGACGACAAGUAAAGAUUGGGGAGGUUGAUUGGAAGAAUAACGUUUCAUAAGAAAAAAAUUGGUCGGCAUGCGUACUGACAGGUCAACAACAUGAAACUAUUUUUAUGAUGUUGCUAGCUUCUCCUGAUGGAGUUAUAAGAUCAUAGAUGGUUUGAAGAAUGAUGAGGAAGACUCAGACUGUUUAAGGAAUUUCAUCUCUAAACAAUGGGAAGGGAUAACCAGAGACAUAUUCAAUUGCUUUAACAAAGAGAAUCGUCGAUAUGGUGCAGGUGUCGUUUUAGUGUCUUUGCAAGUGAGGAUCAGUUGAGGAGUUUGUUUGAUUCCAUGGUGUUUCUUCUGCUCUCAUCUGAUAUGACGACCAAGUAAAGAUCGGGGAGAUGGUUUGGAAGAAUAAUGUUUCAUAACAAAAACUUGGCCGGCGUGCGUGCUCACAGUUUAACACCAUGAAACUGAUUCUAUUGUGAUUGGUGAUCUUUGAUUCGAUACAAUACGUCUUUCUCUUUGUCCACAAGUGAAUCUAAUCUCCUUUAUCCCUAAUUUUAUUCUUUGCUACACAACUUUAGAUAAGAGACUGAAUUCUAAUCUCCUUCCACCAUAUCUCCUUUAUCUCUGAUAUGAUACCAGACUUUUAAGACUUUUAGAAAAAAUAAAAGCAUUGACAGCCAUU
Non-coding RNA from Camelina sativa (false flax), 2366 nucleotides. Lineage: Eukaryota; Viridiplantae; Streptophyta; Magnoliopsida; Brassicales; Brassicaceae. The record is from RefSeq and is a predicted model, not a curated record.